This 418-nucleotide long non-coding RNA is filed under the name Citrus sinensis (sweet orange). RNAcentral describes it as "long non-coding RNA (CSIN_LNC005469)". The record is from RNAcentral. Lineage: Eukaryota; Viridiplantae; Streptophyta; Magnoliopsida; Sapindales; Rutaceae.
AUACAUGGCAUAUAUAAUUAAACAUAUAAAUCAAAUUCAAAACAAAAACUCUCCUUGAAUAUUUCAAAAUUAUGCACAAAUACUUUAAGAUCAAAAUACAUAUUAUAUGUCUUCAUAUUCAAAAUACAUGACUUCUCCCCCUUCAUCAUCAAAAUUACUAGAAAUUCAUGCGAAGAUUGAUAAUAUGUCAAUGGUUAAUCAAGAAACAUAUAAUAACCAAACAUCCAAUUAACCAUAAAAUGAUCAUGAACCAUCAUGCCAUCAAAAGAAUGCUCAUAAUGCAUAUUAUCCAAAAUCAUAUUGUAUGCGCCCCCUAAAUAUAUGGCCAAUUAAAAAAUUUAACCAAAAUGAUAUUAUCCAAAAACAUAUCAUAUUUAUCUCCCCCUUCAUAAAAAAAAUAGAUAGAUGCAAUCGAAAC